This 75-nucleotide transfer RNA is filed under the name Archaeoglobus sp. Its description in RNAcentral is "tRNA-Asp". It matches the Rfam family "tRNA". From Rfam's summary of the family: Transfer RNA (tRNA) molecules are approximately 80 nucleotides in length. Their secondary structure includes four short double-helical elements and three loops (D, anti-codon, and T loops). The record is from RNAcentral. Lineage: Archaea; Methanobacteriati; Methanobacteriota; Archaeoglobi; Archaeoglobales; Archaeoglobaceae. RNAcentral also lists the same sequence under 3 other names.
GCCCGGGUGGUGUAGCCCGGCCCAACAUGUGGGCCUGUCGAGCCCACGCCCCGGGUUCAAAUCCCGGCCCGGGCG